GCCAGCAGCCAUAUCGCCCUGCAGCCCAAGACUGGUUUCCCACUGAAGAGAAGCAGGGUUGAGACCUCCUGGGAAAACUAGGUUGCUGCUGGAA
RNAcentral lists this ribosomal RNA (94 nucleotides) under Sinocyclocheilus rhinocerous. The record is from RNAcentral. Lineage: Eukaryota; Metazoa; Chordata; Actinopteri; Cypriniformes; Cyprinidae.